RNAcentral lists this unclassified non-coding RNA (280 nucleotides) under Leohumicola sp. RNAcentral's name for it is "partial contains 5.8S ribosomal RNA, internal transcribed spacer 2, and large subunit ribosomal RNA". The stretch from base 1 to 71 matches the Rfam family "5.8S ribosomal RNA", at positions 84 to 154 of the family's 154-position model. The record is from RNAcentral. Lineage: Eukaryota; Fungi; Ascomycota; Leotiomycetes.
GUGAAUCAUCGAAUCUUUGAACGCACAUUGCGCCCCUUGGUAUUCCGAGGGGCAUGCCCGUUCGAGCGUCAUUAUAACCCCUCAAGCCUAGCUUGGUGUUGGGGCCUGCUGUUACCGGCAGCCCUUAAAAUCAGUGGCGGUGCCAUCUGGCUCUAAGCGUAGUAAUACUUCUCGCUACAGGGUCCCGGUGGAUGCUUGCCAUCAACCCCUAAUUUUCUAUGGUUGACCUCGGAUCGGGUAGGGAUACCCGCUGAACUUAAGCAUAUCAAUAAGCGGAGGA